RNAcentral lists this ribosomal RNA (603 nucleotides) under Cautires sp. UPOL A00087. RNAcentral's name for it is "partial 16S ribosomal RNA". It matches the Rfam family "Bacterial large subunit ribosomal RNA", at positions 1823 to 2714 of the family's 2925-position model. The record is from RNAcentral. Lineage: Eukaryota; Metazoa; Arthropoda; Insecta; Coleoptera; Lycidae.
CAUCUCCUUUUGAAAAUGAUUUAAGGUCUGAUCUGCUCAAUGAAUUUUUAAUAGCCGCAGUAUUUUGACUGUGCAAAGGUAGCAUAAUAAUUAGUUUCUUGAUUAGGAACUGGAAUGAAUGAUUGGACAAGAAAAUUACUGUCUCUUUUUUAAAUUUAUUGAAUUUUAUUUUUAAGUGAAAAAGCUUAAAUAUCUAUAAAAGACGAGAAGACCCUAUAGAGUUUAAUAUUUUUUACAAAUAAAAAGUUAGAAUAUUAAUUUUGUACGAUUUAUUUAGUUGGGGUGAUUGAAAGAUUAGAUUAAUUCUUUUAUAAAAAAAUUGUUAAUUAACAAAUUAUGAAUCUAUUAUUUAUAAAUAUAAAAUAAAUUACCUUAGGGAUAACAGCGUAAUUUUUCUUUAAAGUUCUUAUUGUAAGGAAAGUUUGCGACCUCGAUGUUGGAUUAAAAUUAAUUUUUGGUGCAAUAACUUAAAAAUUAGGUCUGUUCGACCUUUAAAAUUUUACAUGAUCUGAGUUUAAACCGGUGUGAGCCAGGUUGGAUUCUAUCUUUAGAAAAUUUAGUAUAUUUUAGUACGAAAGGACCAAGUAUAUAUUAUAUUAAUUG